Molecule: small RNA, 662 nt
Filed under: Rattus norvegicus (Norway rat)
Lineage: Eukaryota; Metazoa; Chordata; Mammalia; Rodentia; Muridae
Description: uncharacterized LOC103690886
Source: RNAcentral
GAGGAGACAGAACCUCUCAUUCAUCCCUGACUUAAUCAUGGGGGAGUUAACAGUUUGUUUUUGAAUAAUGGAACAAAGGCAAGAACUGUGCAUAUGAAGAUUUGAUGUCAGUCAGUCUCAAAUCACCAAAACCAGGAGAAAUUAUUUAUGUUGCUGCUUUGCAGAAUUCAAUCAUUUUGGAAGUCCAAGAGAUGCCCCCCCCCAAAUAAACUAUGGCCAAUGUCCUUGGUUACCUAUCAGAACCUGAAGGUUGGAGACCUGAUAUGAAACAAAUGUUGAAGUGGAACGUCUUGGGGAGGAGGCUCUUGGUCAUUACAAAGUGGCUGGCAGCAGAUGUUCUGAGAAUCCCCAAGCCUCCUCUGACCCUCCUACUUUCCUGGCACUGGAACAUGGAACUCACAGCUGAUAGCAUCAUGAAGACAGAAGACAUUUUAGGAAGGGGCCAAGGACAAAAUAAUUUUCUACAAGCAUGCCCACAAGUGACCCAUUUCCUUCAGGUGAGGGUGUGGAAGCCAGAGGACAACGUGAUGGGGUAGGUUUCUCUCCUUCCACCACGUAGGUCCCUUGUCUGAUACCCCGGUCCUCCAGCUUGGCACCAGAGAGGUUACUGAUCUCCCAGGAGAAAGACUUGCCAUUUCUCUCUGGUAAUUUGGGCUCAAAGG